Long non-coding RNA from Humulus lupulus (European hop), 490 nucleotides. RefSeq lists it as uncharacterized. The transcript is spliced from 3 exons. NCBI's taxonomy places the organism in Eukaryota, Viridiplantae, Streptophyta, Magnoliopsida, Rosales, Cannabaceae. The record is from RefSeq and is a predicted model, not a curated record.
UGGCCUUUCUCCAUCUCUCUCUCUCACAUGCUCUCUGCUCUACUAGGCCCGAACGGCUGCCCUCCGAUGGUUGCCGGCGUGCAGACACUGGAUCAGGAGUACCAGACACCGCUGAAACUCCAGCCUUGCGAGCCCAUCGUUGCCGUUCUCCACCGCGAGCAGAAGCCUCCAGGCUCGUACUUUUGGACAAGUAAAGGACUAUUGGGGCAUUGAACAAUCUGAGGUAUGCCCCUCAAUCUCUCGCAGGUGGUGGAGUGGUGGCCUCGCAGGGGUCGUGACGGUGGUCUUCGCCGAGGUACUUUUGGGUCUCGGUCAUAGAUGGUCUCAACAGAGGUGAGAUGCGUGGGUCUCAUGGCUGGUCUUGGCAGAGCUAGGUAGUCUACAGAAUGGAACAUUUAGUUUUGGAGCAAGAAAAACAAUAUCCAUCUAGAGUAAGAUGACAACUUUUAAAUGCACAUGUAAAGGCAAGGGUAAGAUGAAUUGACCAUGG